This 303-nucleotide ribosomal RNA is filed under the name Triticum aestivum (bread wheat). RNAcentral describes it as "partial small subunit ribosomal RNA". Lineage: Eukaryota; Viridiplantae; Streptophyta; Magnoliopsida; Poales; Poaceae. The record is from RNAcentral.
AUGCAUCAUCCAGUCAGUCUUGAUCCCUUUUGCUGCUCUCCCUUUAUAAAAGACAAGAGACUUCUUCAGGCCUAUGCACUUGGUUCCCUCGGAGGAGUAAAUGGGCCUAUCUGUUCCUGUUGCUUUCCAGAAUCCAGCUCCUGUGACUCUGUUUGGUCUAGCACUAUUACGUUUCCCAAAAGUAAGGAGGCUAUGAGUUUAUCUUCCAUGCAUUCGGCAGAAGCAAGAUGGAAUUUAUCAACCCAGAAAAAAAUACAGAGAUGGCUUGAUGGACCUAAAUAUAUGGGAAAGAAGAAUGAAUAG